AUUAGGACUGGCCACACAGAUUCAACUUUUCAGAGCCUACCUUAGUUGGCUCAUCACACUGUUGAGUAUUAUGGGAAGUCAGUGUAAAUGGGGGCUUGGAAUAAGCCCCUAAAUUGGUUAUGUGGGUGUGAGGGUGUGUGGCAGGGAUUGGAGGCCGUGAAGAGUUGGAUGCUGGCUCCAUGGAUCCUUUUAACUGCCGGGAUCCAUAACUCCCAGGAGCAUCAGUGCUGGGAGGUACAGGGACAAGUCAACAGGAGAAAACAGCUAGGGUGGACCUAUUUUCUCUCUGACACAGACUCUCAGCUGCAAGACUCUUUCUCUGUAAGGCAGGUAGGUGGAAUGUGGAAAGACCAGGUAGAAGAAACAACUAGAUUUAGAAAGAUGGCCAAAGUAUGAAGAUGCUUUUAUGGGCUAAAUGUUUGUGCCCAACCUCUCAAAUUUACAUGUUGAAGCCCUAAACCCCCAUUGUGACGUCAUUUGGAGGUGGGCCUUUGAGAGACAAUUAGGCUCACAUGAAGCCAUGAGGGUGAGCCUUCUCAUAAGUGUCCUUAUGAGAAGAGGAAGAGACAGCAGCACUUCCUGUUUCUGCCAUGUGAGAGAAAGCAAGAAGGCUGCUGUCUGCAAGUCAGGAAGAGGGCCCUUCCCAAGAACCCAACCAGCUGGCACCUGUACUUCCAGCCUCCAGAAUGCAGAGAAUAAAUAAAUGUUGUUAAAGGUCGUCAAUGGAUUGGAUGAGGCACAUCCAUGUGAGAAAGGGCAACCUGCUUUACUCAGUCUAUGGAUGCAAAUGUUCAUCUCAUCCAGAAACACCUUCACAGAUACAGCCAGAAUAAUGUUUGACCAAAUGUCUGGGCACCCCAUGGCCUGGUCAAGUUGACACAUAAAAUUAACCAUCACACAGAUAUAACUUUUCUUCAGGGUCUCAGAAUAAACGUUGCUUUCUCCCAGAA
This is a non-coding RNA of Macaca mulatta (Rhesus monkey), 950 nucleotides long. Lineage: Eukaryota; Metazoa; Chordata; Mammalia; Primates; Cercopithecidae. The record is from RefSeq and is a predicted model, not a curated record.